AGCCGGAGUCAGUUUCGCUCGCUUUGUACUUGCCGCCAGUUUUUUUUGUAUUCCAUUUUCAUGGCCACGCGAUCUCUGUGGCGCACCCGCGCCAAGCUCGCGGUGGCCGCUACGGCAAUUCUCAGCGGCGCCACCGCAGCCACCAUCGCCACUUCCGAAGAUCCUGCUAUGACUCUGAAGCUUUGCACCACUGUCCCCGUCCGUCUUGCUCGCGACACCAUAACUGCCGCCUCCAUUGCCUUUGAUUAUGAAUACUCGCUGUGGGGACUACCCGAAGGAAGUGCUGAGAAAUUGAAAGUCAAACAUGAAGUUCACCUAAGAUCAGCGCGUAAGCUUCAAGAACUAUGUUUCAAAAAUGGAGGAAUAUAUAUCAAGCUUGGCCAACACAUUGGGCAGUUGGAAUAUUUAGUCCCUCUAGAGUAUGUCCAGACAAUGAGAGAGUCAAUGCUGAACAAAUGUCCUGAAUCUUCGUAUGAACAAGUGUGUGAAGUUUUCAAGAAAGAGCUUGGAGAAACCCCAGAUAAAAUUUUUAAGGAAUUUGAUCCUGUUCCAAUAGCAAGUGCUUCCCUUGCUCAAGUUCAUGUUGCUCAGACAAAUGAUGGCCAAAAAGUUGCUGUGAAGGUUCAGCACACUCACAUGACAGAUACUGCAGCUGUAGAUCAUGCCACAGUGGAAUUGAUUGUCAACACCCUACACCGGUUUUUCCCUUCGUUUGAUUACAGAUGGUUGGUUGCUGAAAUGAGUGAAAGCCUACCCAAGGAACUGAAUUUCUUGAUUGAGGCCAAAAAUAGUGAGAAGUGUUUGGACAAUUUUCGGAAGCAGUCCCCUCAUAUUGCAGAUUAUGUCUAUGCACCAAAGGUUCAUUGGAACCUGAGUACUUCAAAGUUGUUAACUAUGGAAUUUAUGGAUGCUGCCCAAAUUGAUGAUGUGAAGGCGAUUCAAGGACUCGGCAUUCAACCUAAUGAAGUUGUAAAAUUAGUUAGUCAAGCUUUUGCUGAGAUGAUGUUCAAGCAUGGGUUUGUACACUGUGACCCACAUGCUGCUAACUUGUUGAUACGCCCUUUGCCUUCGGGUAAAAGGAACAUUUUAGGCAAGAGAAAACCACAACUGAUUCUAUUGGACCAUGGGCUGUACAAAGAACUUGACUUUGCCACUAGAUUUAAUUAUGCUGCCCUUUGGAAGGCAUUGAUAUUUGCUGAUGCUGAUUCAAUAAAGGAAAAUAGUGUUAAAUUGGGAGCUGGAGAGGAUCUAUAUGCUCUCUUUGCAGGGAUUCUUACCAUGAGACCCUGGAACAGGGUUGUUGAUCCAGCUGUUGAUCAUUUGGUCAUACAAGGCAACGAGAGUGAACUUUCGGAACUGCAGGUCUUACUGCUUGCAUUGCAAUCACUACAUUUUGCAGAUGUAUGCAUCUCAAUAUUUCCAUGAAAUCUCAGAGCUGCUAAGGAGGCUUCCACGUGUAAUUCUGCUAAUGCUAAAGACAAAUGACUGUCUACGAACAGUAAAUAAUUCUCUGUUGCAGGGAUCUUCUCUUGAGACAUUUUUCAUUAUUGGAAAGGUUUCCUCUGAGGCAGUCCUCGAGGCAAAGAAGUUACAGAGGAAAUCCUUCCUUAGUUGGUUAGAUGUAUGGAUGGACGAAAUCUUGUUGGAGAUUCGACUGUGGGGAAUGCAGAUAGCAGUGUGGCUUUUACAACUCAGGAGAGCUUUGCCUGGUUUAAACUAGAAAUCCCUAUAAACUAAUUCUUUGGACUGAGUUCCAGUUUCGUUUGCCAUUUUACGAUGAUGCUAGGCCCUCAUUCUUUGUUUCGGUUCAGAUACAUCGAUGCGCUAGCCUCCGGGUGUUUUGGACUGGGAUUGACACAAUGAUAUUUUUUUCAUUAGCGAAAGGAAAUCAGAUUAUAAGUUGUAUUUAUUCCUUUUCUUACUCAUAUAAACGUUCUCGUAUACCGAGUCCGCGAGAUAAUAAUGUAUGCCCAAAAACCCCAUUAUGAUUAUUAUUAUUUUGGUUUGGUGGGUGAGAAUAAUAUUUGAAAAAACCUUUAUUUUCGAUGACUUGACUAUGAAUGAACUCAUAGACUUGCCUGGUUUAGGUAAGUUUAAUCCA
Molecule: RNA transcript, 2101 nt
Organism: Jatropha curcas
Lineage: Eukaryota; Viridiplantae; Streptophyta; Magnoliopsida; Malpighiales; Euphorbiaceae
Gene: ATH9
Gene name: ABC2 homolog 9
Source: RefSeq, a predicted model, not a curated record